AGUGAACGCUGGCGGUAGGCCUAACACAUGCAAGUCGAACGGCAGCACAGUAAGAGCUUGCUCUUACGGGUGGCGAGUGGCGGACGGGUGAGGAAUACAUCGGAAUCUACUUUUUCGUGGGGGAUAACGUAGGGAAACUUACGCUAAUACCGCAUACGACCUACGGGUGAAAGCAGGGGAUCUUCGGACCUUGCGCGAUUGAAUGAGCUGAUGUCGGAUUAGCUAGUUGGCGGGGUAAAGGCCCACCAAGGCGACGAUCCGUAGCUCGUCUGAGAGGAUGACCAGCCACACUGGAACUGAGACACGGUCCAGACUCCUACGGGAGGCAGCAGUGGGGAAUAUUGGACAAUGGGCGCAAGCCUGAUCCAGCCAUACCGCGUGGGUGAAGAAGGCCUUCGGGUUGUAAAGCCCUUUUGUUGGGAAAGAAAAGCAGCAGGUUAAUACCCCGCUGUUCUGACGGUACCCAAAGAAUAAGCACCGGCUAACUUCGUG
Molecule: ribosomal RNA, 492 nt
Filed under: uncultured bacterium
Lineage: Bacteria
Description: partial 16S ribosomal RNA
Rfam family: Bacterial small subunit ribosomal RNA
Source: RNAcentral